Cottoperca gobio is the source of this 1269-nucleotide long non-coding RNA. RefSeq lists it as uncharacterized. The record is from RefSeq and is a predicted model, not a curated record. The transcript is spliced from 6 exons. Lineage: Eukaryota; Metazoa; Chordata; Actinopteri; Perciformes; Bovichtidae.
CAGCUCAUCACUCAUUACCAAUUACCAACACAAUUGCUGCAAUAUUUCGAUUUUUUGUUUUUUUUAACAAAAAUAUUCUACAUUUUAUUAUAUCUAUAAAACAUUUUGGAUGAAAAAUUAAAUAAGUGUAUUUCUCUGCAUACGUUUGUUAAAAAAAAAAACCAAUCUCCAGACUUUGAUUAAAACCAAUUAAAUCUGGGAAUAUAUUUUUUUAAUGCAAGAUAAGAACACUUUGCAGACACUGCCAUCUCGUGUCAUUCCUUUUCAAAGUGCAAGGUGUGUUUUAUCUUCUCCUUGCAUUCAAAAAAAGAUGCUGCAAUAAAACAGUGUAGCAGAAAGGAGAGGAAAUGGCAGAAUAGCUCUUUAAACCUUGGCAGGAGCGGAAGGAGAUCAUUCAGAGACACCUGUGAGCCGGGGGAGGGGAGCAGUAACAAUGGCUGCAUGGAGGAGAAAAGAAAAGCGGACAUAUUUAAGCAGUUUAAUCUGUCCGCUAAAAGAAAAUUACUUUAGCAAAGUACGUAUUACAAGUUGUGAGGCUGUUGUUUCAUGAAGCGCUUGGAUUUCCUGGACUCUCCUGCAGAACCACGUGCUGCUGGGGGAACGCCGAUCACCGAGCAGAAAAUCCAUGACAUGAACUGGGAGGUCUUCAGGAGCCCGUUUGGAACGACUCUUUAAUGUUCACCAGUCGCAAGGAUUCUUUUUAGGGAACUUUUAAAAUCCAGCCGUGUGUCAACAGGAAGCAGAAUCAGUCUCCAUACUGAAGACACACAGAAUCAAUCAAAGACAUCUCCUUCCUGUGAAGCUAUGAGUCGAGACUCUCCGUGAUGCAAAGUGAAGAAGGAUUCUGGCUUCAGGCCUUUCUGUUCCAGAGCCUCUCGGAGACGAACCGGUGGCUCCAGGUAGUACUGAAGGAAACGGGACCAGAGAAAAAGCGAGAGCAAAGGUUCCCCAGUGAAUGGCCACGGACUGUUUGGCCUGAAGGUCUUGGUGAACCUGAACAGCCUCUUCUGGAUCUACAUGCUGCCCCUGCAUCAUAUCCCUGAAAAUCCAAAAGACGACAUUGUCUUGCAUGUCUGUGAAACUUCAACAUACAAUAAACAAAUAGAAUCUCUGUUGCAAUCCAAAAACAACACCUGGGCAUGUAAGCUCCGAUGGGGAUUGCUGCGAGAUCAAACGGUCCAAAGCGUCGUCCGAUCUCCUGGAAGGAAGCGCAGUAGCCGGUAUCUCCAGCGAAGAAGAAUCGAUGGUCUGGACCCAAAAUAGACCAGC